CAGCAGCCGCGGGAAUACGGAGGGGGCUAGCGUUGUUCGGAAUUACUGGGCGUAAAGCGCACGUAGGCUGCUUUGUAAGUUAGAGGUGAAAGCCUGGUGCUCAACACCAGAACUGCCUUUAAGACUGCAGAGCUAGAACGUCGGAGAGGUGAGUGGAAUUCCGAGUGUAGAGGUGAAAUUCGUAGAUAUUCGGAAGAACACCAGUGGCGAAGGCGGCUCACUGGACGACUGUUGACGCUGAGGUGCGAAAGCGUGGGGAGCAAACAGGAUUAGAUACCCCGGUAGUCCCUGUCUCUUAUAC
RNAcentral lists this ribosomal RNA (301 nucleotides) under uncultured bacterium. RNAcentral's name for it is "partial 16S ribosomal RNA". It matches the Rfam family "Bacterial small subunit ribosomal RNA", at positions 509 to 807 of the family's 1533-position model. The record is from RNAcentral.